RNAcentral lists this ribosomal RNA (538 nucleotides) under bacterium enrichment culture clone TC60a_10316. RNAcentral describes it as "bacterial SSU rRNA". It matches the Rfam family "Bacterial small subunit ribosomal RNA", at positions 28 to 490 of the family's 1533-position model. The record is from RNAcentral.
GACGAACGCUGGCGGCGUGCCUAACACAUGCAAGUCGAGCGGUCCGGCACUCAACUAAGUGCUUACUUAAGGGGAAGGAAGUAUAGUAGAAGAAGAAAGUAAUAAAAGUGGUGCAAAGUAAGGUAAGCACGGAGUUGAGUGCCGGAUAGCGGCGGACGGGUGAGUAACGCGUGGGCAACCUACCCUUAAGACCGGGAUAACACCUCGAAAGGGGUGCUAAUACUGGAUAAGCUCCUUGUAGGGCAUCCUAUGGGGAGGGAAGGUAGCGGAAGCUACCGCUUAAGGAUGGGCCCGCGUCCCAUCAGCUAGUUGGUAGGGUAACGGCCUACCAAGGCGACGACGGGUAGCCGGCCUGAGAGGGUGGUCGGCCACACUGGGACUGAGACACGGCCCAGACUCCUACGGGAGGCAGCAGUGGGGAAUCUUGCGCAAUGGGCGAAAGCCUGACGCAGCGACGCCGCGUGAGCGAAGAAGGCCUUCGGGUCGUAAGCUCGAUAGUGUGGGAAGGAAGUAAGAUGACGGUACCGACACGAAACGG